ACGGGUGAGUAACACGUGGGUAAUCUGCCUAGGAGUCCGGAAUAACCUUCCGAAAGGAGGGCUAAUGCUGGAUAAGACCACGGGGACUUCGGUCCCUGAGGUAAAAAGGUGGCCUCUGUAUACAAGCUACCACUUCUAGAGGAGCCCGCGGCCCAUCAGCUUGUUGGCGGGGUAAUGGCCCACCAAGGCUACGACGGGUAGCUGGUCUGAGAGGACGAUCAGCCACACUGGAACUGAGACACGGUCCAGACUCCUACGGGAGGCAGCAGUGGGGAAUUUUGCGCAAUGGGCGAAAGCCUGACGCAGCAACGCCGCGUGAGUGAUGAAGGUCUUCGGAUCGUAAAGCUCUUUCGGCCGGGACGAAAACGGGUUGGCCAAUAUCCAACUCCUUGACGGUACCGGAAGAAGAAGCACCGGCUAACUCUGUGCCAGCAGCCGCGGUAAUACAGAGGGUGCGAGCGUUGUUCGGAAUUAUUGGGCGUAAAGCGCGUGUAGGCGGCGCUGCAUGUCGGGUGUGAAAGCCCUCGGCUUAACCGGGGAAGUGCGCCCGAAACUGCAGUGCUCGAGUGCCGGAGAGGGUAGCG
RNAcentral lists this ribosomal RNA (584 nucleotides) under uncultured bacterium. RNAcentral's name for it is "bacterial SSU rRNA". It matches the Rfam family "Bacterial small subunit ribosomal RNA", at positions 102 to 663 of the family's 1533-position model. The record is from RNAcentral.